This 1176-nucleotide long non-coding RNA is filed under the name Carica papaya (papaya). RNAcentral describes it as "long non-coding RNA (CPAP_LNC012310)". The record is from RNAcentral. Lineage: Eukaryota; Viridiplantae; Streptophyta; Magnoliopsida; Brassicales; Caricaceae.
GCCACACAACACGAGUGUGUGUUUGUUGAGUGUACUUCUAUUUUAGUGUUUCAUCUUCUUUUUUAAACUCUGUUCAGGAGCCUGAUACCUCUGGAUUCUGUUUCAUGCAAGCAUUAUUUACAAGUUUGUGGAUUUCAAAUUAAAAAACAAAGUUUGUUAACUUUUUUUUUUCUUCUUACGGUUCUAUGUUUUUCUCUCAUUUCUUUUCUUGAUCCGCACAGUUUUUUUUUUUUUUUUUUUCUUCAGUUUAUUAAUUUAAGCUUAAGUUCAAGAUGCAAUACAGUCCUUUGUUGUUCGUAAAUUUUUACGUACUUUUUGGAUAUAUUUUCAUCACCUCUCUACCCGGAAAAUAAAUGAAUUGAAGGUUAGUGGAUAUAAAUGUAUAAUUUAAUAGCAAUUUUCUUUAUUACAUUUGUAACUUGUUUCUUCUGAAUAUAGCCUGCCAGGGUAAAUUAGGAUUGUCUCAGCAUAAAAGCUUUAAAAUCAAUCUCAGUAUGACCUUAAUCUGGAAAUUAAUCAUAAAAUGAAAACGGGUUACUGGUCCUGGAGCUUCUAUUCUAUCAUCAAGUUGCUAUCGUCCGUAAAUAGAAGGUUCAUUUGAGGGUAAGACAUAAGAACCUUUAGCAGAUACACAGUAGGGUAAUUAGUGUCCGUGGAAAACUGUUCUGUAUGUGAAUUCAGUUUUGUGUCUUGGUAGUUUCUUAGAAAAGUAUUUGUUUUAUUGAAACUGUUUCGCCCAAGUUCAGUCAAUGCUGUCCGUCACAAGCUUAUCUGAAUUCUGUGAUAAUCUAGUGUUCUGGCGAUUGUUUGAACUUCGAACUCUUUGACAUGUCUGUAACAGUAAGCUAAUCUUAUAAUUCCUCAAUUGACUUUUUCAGGGUUUGGAUUUUGAUGUGUAGUCAAUAAGGAGUUGACAGUUUGAUCAAGCUUUUGGACCAAUCUAAACAGGAAAAGCUUUAAAACGUAUCUGUGGCUCGAUUUUCAUGCUUGGUGGGUCUUGCAUCUGGAGUUCCUCAGAGAUGGACUAGUAUAAAUCUUCCGGGUGUGUGUGUCUCACCUCAAUACUGUAUACAACCAGAUUAAAUGGGUCCAUUUCCUGGUACUUGUGAAAUUGAAGAGCUGAGUUCAGUUGAACAUUCUAGAAGAACUCAUCUACCAAAUGCUGGGAUGAANNNN